CCCUUAGAUGUUCUGGGCCGCACGCGUGCUACACUGACCGGCGCAACAAGCUUUUUUCCUUGGCUCGACAGGCCUGGGUAAUCUUCGAACGCCGGUCGUGAUGGGGAUAGAUCCUUGCAAUUUUUGAUCUUCAACGAGGAAUUCCUAGUAAAUGCGAGUCAUCAUCUCGCGUUGAUUACGUCCCUGCCCUUUGUACACACCGCCCGUCGCACCUACCGAUUGAAUGGUCCGGUGAAAUCUCGGGACGGCGGCUUGGUCGCUUGCGUCCGACUGCUGAAACUUGAUUAAACCAUAUCAUUUAGAGGAAGGUGAAGUCGUANCA
RNAcentral lists this ribosomal RNA (322 nucleotides) under uncultured eukaryote. Its description in RNAcentral is "partial 18S ribosomal RNA". It matches the Rfam family "Eukaryotic small subunit ribosomal RNA", at positions 1470 to 1796 of the family's 1831-position model. The record is from RNAcentral.